Homo sapiens (human) is the source of this 5212-nucleotide long non-coding RNA. Ensembl annotates it as long intergenic non-protein coding RNA 662. Lineage: Eukaryota; Metazoa; Chordata; Mammalia; Primates; Hominidae. The record is from Ensembl.
GUCCACUGCGGUUCCGCCGUGCCAAGGGGAGCUUGGCUGUUCACGGGCCUCACCUGCUAGCGAGAAGAUAGCUUGGCCGGGCGGCUGAUCUCACCUUGUAAUUCUGACACUGUGUCUCCCGGGCUUGUCGGCUUCAUGACUUGUGCCCAAAGUUUGAUUUCUCGCAGACCAGGAGGACCCAUUGGACCCCCGGGCUGGCUGCAGGGCCCACACCUGGGUUAGACCUCGCACAGGGACGCUGCUGCCACUGUAAUAAAGCGUGCCUACACGCUUCUGAAACUGGUGUAGGAACAACCUCAGUUCUGUGAAAGGCGGACGCAGCAGGACAGAAUCUCCGUGGACAUCUGUCUGGAGGAGCAAUUUUACUGCGACAUUUUAAAGAAACAAAUUUAAUUGAUUUCCAAGGGUGUCCAUCGCGCUUCCUUCACUGCCUUGAUCAUGUCGGGGUCACCACCUGCGGGGGUUUGUCCUGCAGACCCUGACUCAACGACGGAUGAAUAAUGUACACUGACACAGAUCUUAUGCUUGUCAGUCCUGCUGAGCAUCCAGGCCACUUACAGACUCCAAGAAGAGUCCUGUCAGCCACGGCUCUGACUUGUUGGCCCUCCCGGCAUUUAUUUAGCACACAUUUAAUGACAGAAGUCUCAGGCUGGAAACACUCUUUUUGUAGAACAUACAAAUGGACAUUUCUAAGCACAUUGAGGCCUAUAAUGAAAAAUCAAAUAUCCCACAAUGAAAACUAGAAGGAAGCUAUCUGUGAUAAUGCUUUGUGGUGUAUGGAUUCAUCUCACUGACUGAAACCUGAGUUUUGAUUCACCAGAAUCUAUGCAGGGACAUUUUUGUGCUCAUUGAGGCCUACUGUGAAAAACCAAACAUCAGGGGUGGAGCCAAAAAAGCCAAAUAGGAACAGCUCCAGUCUACAGCUCCCAGCAUGAGCCACACAGAAGAUGGAUGAUUUCUGCAUUUCCAACUGAGGUACCAGGUUCAUCUCACUGGGGAGUGUUGGAAAGUGGGUUCAGGACAGUGGGUGCAGGACACCGAGCAUGAGCCAAAAGAGGGUGAGGCAUCACCUCACCUGGGAAGCACAAGGGGUCAGGGAAUUCACUUUCCUAGUCAAAGAAAGUGGUGACAGAUGGCACCUGGAAAAUCAGGUCACUCCCACCAUAAUACUGCACUUUUCCAAUGGUCUUAGCAAAUGGCACACCAGGAGAUUAUAUCCCUUGCAUGGCUUGGAGGGUUCUACACCCAUGGAGCCUUGCUUAUUGCUAGCACAGCAGUAUAAGAUCAAACUGCAAGGUGGCAGAGAGGCUUGGGGAGGGGCACCCACCAUUGCCGAGGCUUGAAUAGGUAAACAAAGUGGCUAGGAAGCUCGAACUUGGUGGAGCCCACCACAGCUCAAGGAGGCCUGCCUGCCUCUGUAGACUCCACCUCCGGGGGCAGGACAUAGCCAAACAAAAGGCAACAGAAACCUUUGCAGAUUUAAUUGUCCCUGUCUGACAGCUUUGAAGAGAGUAGUGGUUCUCCCAGCACGCAGCUGGAGAUCUGAGAAUGGAGAGAUUGCCUCCUCAAGUGGGUCCCUGAACCCCAAGUAGCAUAACUGGGAAGCACCCCCCAGUAGGGGCAGACUGACACCUCACAAGGCCGGGUACUCCUCUGAGACAAAACUUCCAGAGGAACAAUCAGGCAUCAACAUUUGCUGUUCACCAAUAUCCGCUGUUCUGCAGCCUUUGCUGCUGAUACCUAGGCAAAUAGGGUCUGGAGUGGACCUCCAGCAAACUCCAACAGACCUGCAGCUGAGGGUCCUGACUGUUAGAAGGAAAACUAACAAACAGAAAGGACAUCCACACAAAAACCCCAUCUGUACGUCACCAUCAUUGAAGACCAAAGGUAGAAAAAACCACAAAAAUGGGGAAUAAAACAGAAAAGAAAAACUGGAAACUCUAAAAAUUAGAGUGCCUCUCCUCCUCCAAAGGAAUGCAGCUCCUCACCAGCAAUGAAACAAAGCUGGAUGGAGAAUGACUUUGACGACUUGAGAGAAGAAGGCUUCAGAUGAUCAAACUAUUCUGAGCUAAAAGAGAAAGUUCGAACCCAUGGCAAAGAAGUUAAAAACCUUGAAAAAAAGUUAGAUGAAUAGCUAACUAGAAUAGCCAAUGCAGAGAAGUCCUUAAAGGACUUGAUGGAGCUGAAAACCAAGGCACGAGAAAUACAUGAUGAAUGCACAAGCCUCAGUAACCAAUUCGAUCAACUGGAAGAAAGGGUAUCAGUGAUGGAAGAUCAAAUGAAUGAAAUGAAGUGAGAAGAGAAGCUUAUAGAAAAAAGAAUAAAAAGAAAUGAACAAAGCCUUCAAGAAAUAUGGGACUAUGUAAAAACCCCAAAUCUACAUCGGAUUGUUGUAUCCGAAAGUGACAGGGAGAAUGGAACCAAGUUGGAAAACACUCUGCGGGAUAAUAUCCAGGAGAAUUUCCCCAAUCUAGCAAGGCAGGCCAACAUUCAAAUUCAGGAAAUAACAGAGAAUGCUACAAAGAUACUCCUCGAGAAGAGCAACUCCAAGACACAUAAUUGUCAGAUUCGCCAAAUUUCAAAUGAAGGAAAAAAUGUUAAGGAUAGCCAGAGAGAAAGGUCGGGUUACCCACAAAGGGAAGCCCAUCGGACAAACAGCAGAUAUGUCAGUAGAAACUCUACAAGCCGGAAGAGAGUGGGGGCCAAUAUUCAACAUUCUUAAAGAACAGAAUUUUCAACGCAGAAUUUCAUAUACAGUCAAACUAAGCUUCAUAAGUGAAGGAGAAAUAAAAUGCUUUACAGACAAGCAAAUGCUGAGAGAUUUCGUCACCACCAGGCCUUCCCUAAAAGAGCUCCUGAAGGAAGCACUAAACAUGGAAAGGAACAACUGAUACCAGCCACUGCAAAAACAGGCCAAAUUGUAAAGACCAUUGAGGCUAGGAAGAAACUGCAUCACCUAAUGAGCAAAAUAGCCAGCUAACAUCAUAAUGACAGGAUCAAACUCACACGUAACAAUAUUAACCUUAAAUGCAAAUGGGCUAAAUGCUCCAAUUAAAAGACACAGACUGGCAAAUUGGAUAAAAGGUCAGGAGCUAUCAGUAUGCUGUAUUCAGGAAACACAUCUCACAUACAGAGACACACAUAGGCUUAAAAUAAAGGGAUGGAGGAAGAUCUACCAAGAAAAUGGAAAACAUAAAAAGGCAGGAAUUGCAAUCCUAGUCUCUGAUAAAACAGAAUUUAAACCAACAAAGAUCAAAAGAGACAAAGAAGGCCAUUAUAUAAUGGUAAAGGGAUCAAUUCAACAAGAAGAGCUAACUAUCCUAAAUAUAUAUGCACCCAAUACAGGAGCACCCAGAUUCAUAAAGCAAGUCCUUAGAGACCUACAAAGAGACUUAGACUCCCACACAGUAAUAAUGGGAGACUUUAACACCCCACUGUCAACAUUAGACAGAUCAACGAGACAGAAAGUUAGCAAGGAUAUCCAGGAACUGAACUCAGCUCUGCACCAAGUGGACCUAAUAGAUAUCUACAGAACUCUCCACCCCAAAUCAACAGAAUAUAAAUUCUUUUCAGCACCACACCACACUUAUUCCAAAAUUGACCACAUAGUUGGAAGUAAAGCACUCUUCCGCAAAUGUAAAAGGACAGAAAUUAUAACAAAAUGUCUCUCAGACCACAGUGCAAUCAAACUAGAACGCAGGAUUAAGAAACUCACUGAAAACCGCUCAAUGACAUGGAAACUGAACAACCUGCUCCUGAGUGACUACUGGGUACAUAACGAAAUGGAGGCAGAAAUAAAGAUGUUCUUUGAAACCAAGGAGAACAAAGACACAACAUACCAGAAUCUCUGGGACGCAUUCAAAGCAGUGUGUAGAGGGAAAUUUAUAGCACUAAACGCCCACAAGAGAAAGUAGGAAAGAUCUAAAAUUGACACCCUAACAUCACAAUUAAAAGAACUAGAGAAGCAAGAGCAAACACAUUCAAAAUCUAGCAGAAGGCAAGAACAACUAAGAUCAGAGUAGAGCUGAAGGAAAUAGACACGCAAAAAACCCUUCAAAAAAUCAAUGAAUCCAGGAGCUGGUUUUUUUAAAAGAUCAACAAAAUUGAUAGACCACUAGCAAGACUAAUAAAGAAGAAAAGAGAGAGGAAUCAAAUAGACUCAAUAAAAAAUGAUAAAGGGGAUAUCACCACCGAUCCCAUAGAAAUACAAACUACCAUCAGAGAAUACUAUAAACACCUCUACACAAAUAAACUAGACAAUAUAGAAGAAAUGGAUAAAUUCCUCGACACAUACACCUCCCAAGACUAAACCAGGAAGAAGUUGAAUCUUUGAAUAGACUAAUAACAGGCUCUGAAAUUGAGGCAAUAAUUAAUAGCUUGCCAAGCAAAAAAAGUCAAGGACCACAUGGAUUCAUAGCUGAAUUCUACCAGAGGAAAAAGGAGGAGCUGGUACCAUUCCUUCUGAAACUACUCCAAUCAAUAGAAAAAGAGGGAGUCCUCCCUAACUCAUUUUAUGAGGCCAGCAUCAUCCUGUUACCAAAGCCUGGCAGAGACACAACAAAAAAAAAGAGAAUUUUAGAACAAUAUCCCUGAUGAACAUUGAUAUAAAAAUCCUCAAUAAAUACUGGCAAACCGAAUCCAGCAGCACAUCAAAAAGCUUAUCCACCAUGAUCAAGUGGGCUUCAUCCCAGGGAUGCAACGCUGGUUCAACAUAGGCAAAUCAAUAAACGUAAUCCAGCAUAUAAACAGAACCAAUGACAAAACCAUAUGAUUAUCUCAAUAGAUGCAGAAAAAGCCUUCGACAAAAUUCAACAGCCCUUCAUGCUAAAAACUCUCAAUAAAGUAGGUAUUGAUGGGAUGUACCUCAAAAUAAUAAGAGCUAUCUAUGACAAACCCACAGCCAAUAUCAUAUUGAAUGUGCGAAAACUGGAAGCAUUCCCUUUGAAAACUGGCACAAGACAGGGAUGUCCUCUCUCACCACUCCUAUUCAACAUAGUGUUGGAAGUUCUGGCCAGGGCAAUCAGGCAGGAGAAAGAAAGUGUAUUCAAUUAGGAAAAGAGGAAGUCAAAUUUUCCCUGUUUGCCAAUGAGAUGAUUGUAUAUCUAGAAAACCCCAUUGUCUCAACCCAAAAUCUCCUUAAGCUGAUAGGCAACUUCAGAAAAGUCUCAGGAUACAAAAUAAAUGUGCAAAAAUCAGAAGCAUUCUUAUACAC